GGGGUUGUGGCUCAGCAGUAGAGCACUCGCCUAGCAUGUGGGAGACCCUGGGUUCGAUCCUUAGCACCA
Molecule: transfer RNA, 69 nt
Filed under: Ictidomys tridecemlineatus (thirteen-lined ground squirrel)
Lineage: Eukaryota; Metazoa; Chordata; Mammalia; Rodentia; Sciuridae
Also listed under: 1 other name
Description: Spermophilus tridecemlineatus (thirteen-lined ground squirrel) tRNA
Rfam family: tRNA
About the family: Transfer RNA (tRNA) molecules are approximately 80 nucleotides in length. Their secondary structure includes four short double-helical elements and three loops (D, anti-codon, and T loops).
Source: Rfam by way of RNAcentral